RNAcentral lists this ribosomal RNA (665 nucleotides) under uncultured bacterium. Its description in RNAcentral is "bacterial SSU rRNA". It matches the Rfam family "Bacterial small subunit ribosomal RNA", at positions 29 to 694 of the family's 1533-position model. The record is from RNAcentral.
UUGAACGCUGGCGGCGUGCUUAACACAUGCAAGUCGAACGAAGCACUUUGGAACGAUUCUUCGGAUGAGUGAAAGAGUGACUGAGUGGCGGACGGGUGAGUAACGCGUGGGCAACCUACCUCAUACAAGGGGAUAACAGUUAGAAAUGACUGCUAAUACCGUAUAAGCUUACGAGACCGCAUGGUCAAGUAAGAAAAACUCCGGUGGUAUGAGAUGGGCCCGCGUCUGAUUAGCUAGUUGGUGAGGUAACGGCUCACCAAGGCGACGAUCAGUAGCCGACCUGAGAGGGUGAUCGGCCACAUUGGGACUGAGACACGGCCCAAACUCCUACGGGAGGCAGCAGUGGGGAAUAUUGCACAAUGGGGGAAACCCUGAUGCAGCGACGCCGCGUGAAGGAUGAAGUAUUUCGGUAUGUAAACUUCUAUCAGCAGGGAAGAAAAUGACGGUACCUGACUAAGAAGCCCCGGCUAACUACGUGCCAGCAGCCGCGGUAAUACGUAGGGGGCAAGCGUUAUCCGGAUUUACUGGGUGUAAAGGGAGCGUAGACGGUUGUGUAAGUCAGAUGUGAAAGCCCGGGGCUCAACCCCGGGACUGCAUUUGAAACUGUGCAACUAGAGUGUUGGAGAGGCAAGUGGAAUUCCUAGUGUAGCGGUGAAAUGCGUAGA